GACGAACGCUGGCGGCGUGCUUAACACAUGCAAGUCGAACGGAAAGGCCCUGCUUUUGUGGGGUGCUCGAGUGGCGAACGGGUGAGUAACACGUGAGUAACCUGCCCUUGACUUUGGGAUAACUUCAGGAAACUGGGGCUAAUACCGGAUAGGAGCUCCUGCUGCAUGGUGGGGGUUGGAAAGUUUCGGCGGUUGGGGAUGGACUCGCGGCUUAUCAGCUUGUUGGUGGGGUAGUGGCUUACCAAGGCUUUGACGGGUAGCCGGCCUGAGAGGGUGACCGGCCACAUUGGGCCUGGGAUACGGCCCAGACUCAUACGGGAGGCAGCAGUGGGGAAUAUUGCACAAUGGGCGGAAGCCGGAUGCAGCAACGCCGCGUGCGGGAGGACGGCCUUCGGGUAGUAAACCGAUUUCGCCUGUGACGAAGCGUGAGGGACGGGAAUGGGGAAAGAAACACCGGCUAACUACGG
This 467-nucleotide ribosomal RNA is filed under the name uncultured bacterium. Its description in RNAcentral is "partial 16S ribosomal RNA". It matches the Rfam family "Bacterial small subunit ribosomal RNA", at positions 28 to 506 of the family's 1533-position model. The record is from RNAcentral.